This is a long non-coding RNA of Mirounga angustirostris (Northern elephant seal), 1689 nucleotides long. RefSeq lists it as uncharacterized. The record is from RefSeq and is a predicted model, not a curated record. Lineage: Eukaryota; Metazoa; Chordata; Mammalia; Carnivora; Phocidae. The transcript is spliced from 7 exons.
ACUGCCUUUGGCUCAGGUCAUGAUCCCGGAGUCCUGGGAUCGAGUCCCACAUCGGGCUCCCGGCUCAGCAGGGAGCCUGCUUCUCCCUCUGAUCCUAUCCCCUCUCAUGCUGUUUCUCUCUGUCAAAUGGAUAAAUAAAAAAUCUUAAAAAAAAAAAAUGGUUCUAGGGUUUUCUAACAGUGGAGAACAGAUUACCCUUAGAUGAGACAAGGUUUUAAAGAUAAAAAGGGGCAGACUGGCCUAGUGCUUUUCCCAAUGAAGAAUGCUGGUUCUACCCCUUCCUGUAUCUCACAUACAAAGAGGGGCUUCAGGUUUGUGCAGGACUUCUAUCUAUAAGAAAUUAUUACCCAGUGCAGGAGGAGUAAAGGAAACUUAAGUUGGUGAUAUCUUUUCAACACAGGCAUGAAGAAGAGCCCAUCCUGGAUUUUCCUGCCGUGGAACUUCAGAGAAAGGCUGAUUUUUUCCAUGGCUUGUUUUUAUCUACCUCAGCAUUUCCUCUUCUUCAGUUUCUUUCUUCUGAAAGGAGUGCUGGUAAUGGCAAAGGCUGCAGAGCUCCUAAAACCAGACCCCAGGAUUUCCCAUUUCUAACCCUCAGCUGAUCUGCCUGCAAGGAAGAGGGGAAAUGCCAUGGGUUCCAGAUUUAAGGGAAAUUGAGGAUGAAGAAGACCAAAGCACUUGACCGACUGUACGUUGUGAGACCCUUCGGUUCAACAUCAUGAGCCUCAGCUACUUCCUGACUGCUAUCCAUUCCAUCUAUUGAGGUUUCUUUUUCUGCAGAGAGAGAGAGAAAAAAAAAAAGGAGACUGGGUGACUUAAUGGGAGGAGAGAGAGAUGAACAAAGGUUAUGUGGAGAAGAGCAACUGAUGUGUCAAAUGCUAUCGCCCAGGCUUGUUAUGUCAAGGAAAGGCAGAGGAAGGUGGCAAGUGCUGUGUCAAGAAAUGGUCUAAAGCUUCAGGGAAUAUGGUAUCUCAACUGGGUCUCAGCAAUGAGUCGGAUUUCCGCAGAUGAAGGUGGGAGAGGAAGAGCAUGACACAUGACAGCAACUGCAAAGGCUGUGGCCCUGUGACCAAACGGUCUUUUUGUGUUUGGGCUUACUUCCUUGUGAGGUGGGACAUGCCAGCACACUCUGGGAUGGAAAGAGAGAGAGCCAGCACAAGCAGGGAAAGCGGCAGGCAGAGGGAGAAACCUGCUCUCUGCUGAGGAGGGAGCCCAAUGUGGGACUCGAUCCCAGGACCCUGGGAUCAUGACCCGAGCCGAAGGCAGACGCUUAACAGACUGAGCCACCCAGGUGUCCCGAGAUUGCCCCUCUUGUGAAUACAAGAGUUGUGGCGAACUAGAAGAUAGCAGAGGCAAAGGUUGAAGGAAAGACUGAGCACAUCACCUGGAAUGAUGGCCUCCAUCACGUACCUUUCACUUUCCACCUCUAAAACUGUGGAUACAUCUGCUGACCCCUCUGAACAUCAGUUUCCUGAUCUGUCAAACAGGAAUAACAACACCUUGUCAACAUCGGGAAGAUUAGAUAAGGUUUUCCAACACCAUUUGUUGAGGAGACUGUCCUUUUCCCAUUGAAUGGCCUUGGCACCCUUGCUCAAAAUCAACUGACCCCACGCACAAAGGUUUAUUUCUGACUAUUCUAUUCCAUUGGUCUGUGUGUCUGUCUUUAUGCCAGAGCCACACUGUUUUGAUUAC